AGGGCCCGGAGGCGGGGCUAGUCACAAGGGCCCACGGUUUAGUCAAGCAUAGUGAUGAAGUCUGCGGUUUACAGUUUGAGUCGCUGAGGCCACGCGGGUGCUGGCAGAGAGGCCUGGAAGCUCUCCUCCCCAGCGUACCUUGCCUGGAGCAUCUCUUCCGGCUGUUCCCGAGCUCCCUUGUGAAAACUUGAAUCUGCUCACCUGCGGGUCGAAAAGGAACGGGGAUCAGUCUGCUACUGUCAGGGUGCACUGUUGACUUCACAAGAGCAAACAAAAGGGGAGUGAAGGUCAAAACUGUUCAAUGCCACAUGGACAGAAAAGCAAGCAGCCAGAACAUUAAAAAGUCCUAAAUCUCAGACCUUGGAGAGGACUCAAGGCCAACACCUUAUCCUUCAGACCACGCAAGCAGAAUCUCUUCAAGGCAACCACAUCCAACCUUGAACCAGGCACGGUAGACGUACCCUUCGGUCCUCCAAGUCACAGUUUCCAUGAGGAUAGUCUUAUGUGUCACUCACAUCCAGAGCUCCCAGCUUCCCAGACCGCUGCCACCUCCCCCCGCAAUUCUCUGAUGUCAGCUGUCUCCAAGCCAUCACCCGCAGACUCCUGUCUCCCUAAUCUAUCAGAGAGGACCACUAUUGUGAGUUCAAGCCCUCAGCCACACGUGGUUUAGACCCUGGUCUCUCACUCGGGACAGCUGAGCCAUUCCCUGAACAGCUCACCUCACCUGCAGUUUGGUCCCUCUGAUCCCUCGCUACAUGGUGACCAAAGAGACCUCUGAAACACAAGCCUCGCCACCUCACCCUGCAGGCUAAAUGCAAACCCCUAUCAUCUGAAUGGCACACAGGCCCUUCAGGAACUACCUGGUUCCCGCAUUAAAAAGUUGCAGCACUGACCAGACUACCUGCUCCCUGCCCUGGGCUUUGCUUACAGCCCCUUCUAUCUGACUUUUCCUAUCUGCCUCCUCCCUUAGAACCCUAGGUCAAGGUCUGUGACCACCUCUGCCAGUCUGUCCUCCAUGACCAGGGAUAACUGUUUUGAUCCCUUUUGAACUGCCAGCACCUGGCCCAGAGCUUGGAUUUACCUGUCAGCGUUUGCUUACCCCCCUUCCAGUCUAACAAGCUCGUUCUGAAGGAAUAAACACAUGAUAAUAUA
Molecule: long non-coding RNA, 1152 nt
Organism: Suricata suricatta (meerkat)
Lineage: Eukaryota; Metazoa; Chordata; Mammalia; Carnivora; Herpestidae
Exons: 8
Source: RefSeq, a predicted model, not a curated record